RNAcentral lists this ribosomal RNA (253 nucleotides) under uncultured bacterium. Its description in RNAcentral is "partial 16S ribosomal RNA". It matches the Rfam family "Bacterial small subunit ribosomal RNA", at positions 524 to 776 of the family's 1533-position model. The record is from RNAcentral.
UACGGGGGGAGCAAGCGUUGUUCGGAUUUACUGGGCGUAAAGGGCGCGUAGGCGGCGCAACAAGUCACUUGUGAAAUCUCCGGGCUUAACCCGGAGCGGCCAAGUGAUACUGUCGUGCUAGAGUGCGGAAGGGGCUACUGGAAUUCUCGGUGUAGCGGUGAAAUGCGUAGAUAUCCGGAGGAAGACCGGUGGCGAAGGCGGUCUGCUGGGCAGUUUCUGACACUGAUGCGCGACAGCGUGGGGAGCAAACAGG